GUGACGAUGGAGCUUGCUUCAUCUGAUCAGUGGCGAACGGGUGAGUAACACGUGAGUAACCUGCCCCUCACUCUGGGAUAACCUCGGGAAAUCGUGGCUAAUACCGGAUAUGAGUUUCCACCGCAUGGUGGUUUCUGGAAAGUUUUUCGGUGAGGGAUGGACUCGCGGCCUAUCAGUUUGUUGGUGAGGUAAUGGCUCACCAAGGCGAUGACGGGUAGCCGGCCUGAGAGGGCGACCGGCCACACUGGGACUGAGACACGGCCCAGACUCCUACGGGAGGCAGCAGUGGGGAAUAUUGCACAAUGGGCGAAAGCCUGAUGCAGCGACGCCGCGUGAGGGAUGACGGCCUUCGGGUUGUAAACCUCUUUCAGCAGGGAAGAAGCGAAAGUGACGGUACCUGCAGAAGAAGCGCCGGCUAACUACGUGCCAGCAGCCGCGGUAAUACGUAGGGCGCAAGCGUUGUCCGGAAUUAUUGGGCGUAAAGAGCUUGUAGGUGGCUUGUCGCGUCUGCCGUGAAAACCCGAGGCUCAACCUCGGGCGUGCGGUGGGUACGGGCAGGCUAGAGUGUGGUAGGGGAGACUGGAACUCCUGGUGUAGCGGUGAAAUGCGCAGAUAUCAGGAAGAACACCGAUGGCGAAGGCAGGUCUCUGGGCCAUUACUGACACUGAGAAGCGAAAGCAUGGGGAGCGAACAGGAUUAGAUACCCUGGUAGUCCAUGCCGUAAACGUUGGGCACUAGGUGUGGGGGACAUUCCACGUUCUCCGCGCCGUAGCUAACGCAUUAAGUGCCC
This 790-nucleotide ribosomal RNA is filed under the name Brachybacterium nesterenkovii. RNAcentral describes it as "bacterial SSU rRNA". It matches the Rfam family "Bacterial small subunit ribosomal RNA", at positions 68 to 869 of the family's 1533-position model. The record is from RNAcentral. Lineage: Bacteria; Bacillati; Actinomycetota; Actinomycetes; Micrococcales; Dermabacteraceae.